RNAcentral lists this transfer RNA (73 nucleotides) under Bos taurus (domestic cattle). It matches the Rfam family "tRNA". From Rfam's summary of the family: Transfer RNA (tRNA) molecules are approximately 80 nucleotides in length. Their secondary structure includes four short double-helical elements and three loops (D, anti-codon, and T loops). Lineage: Eukaryota; Metazoa; Chordata; Mammalia; Artiodactyla; Bovidae. The record is from Rfam by way of RNAcentral. RNAcentral also lists the same sequence under 2 other names.
UCCCUGGCAGUUCAGUGGUUAGGACUUUGUGAUUUCACUGCAGGGGAUGCAGGUUUGAUUCCUGUUUGGGGAA